UUGGCCUACGGGGGGCAGCAGUGAGGAAUAUUGGUCAAUGGGCUUACGCCUGAACCAGCCAAGUCGCGUGAGGGAAGACUGCCCUAUGGGUUGUAAACCUCUUUUGUCAGGGAGCAACGCCGGCUACGUGUAGCCGGACUGAGAGUACCUGAAGAAAAAGCAUCGGCUAACUCCGUGCCAGCAGCCGCGGUAAUACGGAGGAUGCGAGCGUUAUCCGGAUUUAUUGGGUUUAAAGGGUGCGUAGGCGGCCUGCUAAGUCUGGAGUGAAAGGUACCGGCUCAACCGGUACAGGCUCUGGAAACUGG
Molecule: ribosomal RNA, 305 nt
Filed under: uncultured bacterium
Lineage: Bacteria
Description: bacterial SSU rRNA
Rfam family: Bacterial small subunit ribosomal RNA
Source: RNAcentral